AGGGAAACACUGCGGAUGAGCCUCAGUCUGCGGCCGCCGCGCCCUUUGAGCGCCGUCACCACGGUUACGCAGAUAAAGAUCAGGGCUCUGGGUGGUUAUUAACAAGCGUGAGGAUGAUUCACCGCCAAGAGGAAAUCCUGGUGGUGGCAACCGAAACGCUGCAUGUGCAGAAAGCCGAAGCAGGAAGAGAAAAACGAAUGCAGUUUGAGCCCACAGACACGGCAGGAAUCUGAUCCCGACCCGGCAGAGGGAUCAGAGGGAAGUGAUGAGUCCAGGGAACCGAGACCAGCUUCCCUUUUUGUUCGCCUCGUUUCUCCUCUUCCUCUUAUGUAACAGUGAAGCUCAAACACUGAAAACUGAAACACAUCCUGUUACUCACAAUCAAACUGAUAUUUUAUCGUAUAUAUUAUCAGAAACUAAUAAAACUAAAUUAAAAAAAAGCUCAUUUUAAUGCUAAGCAAGACGACAGUUUGUCACACCAGAUCACAGGUGGCUCUUAUAAAAACAUAUA
This is a long non-coding RNA of Poecilia latipinna (sailfin molly), 511 nucleotides long. RefSeq lists it as uncharacterized. The transcript has 2 exons. Lineage: Eukaryota; Metazoa; Chordata; Actinopteri; Cyprinodontiformes; Poeciliidae. The record is from RefSeq and is a predicted model, not a curated record.